CCUACGGGCGACAGCAGUAGGGAAUGUUCGGCAAUGGGGGGAACCCUGACCGAGCAACGCCGCGUGAAUGAAGAAGUUAUUCGUAAUGUAAAGUUCUUUUAACAGGGAAGAAAGAGAAAUUUGACGGGACCUGAAGAAUAAGCUCCGGCUAACUACGUGCCAGCAGCCGCGGUAAUACGAAGGGAGCGAGCGUUAUCCGGAAUGAUUGGGCGGAAAGGGUGCGUAGAUGGCAUAGUAAGUCUGUUGUAAAAAUGCUGGGCUCAACCCAGUAGGGCAAAAGAUACUGCAAAGCUAUAGUAUGCCAGAGCCAAGUGGCACUACAUGUGUAGCGGU
This 333-nucleotide ribosomal RNA is filed under the name uncultured bacterium. Its description in RNAcentral is "partial 16S ribosomal RNA". It matches the Rfam family "Bacterial small subunit ribosomal RNA", at positions 338 to 682 of the family's 1533-position model. The record is from RNAcentral.